AGGAUCAUUAUUGAAAUAAACUUGAUAAGUUGCUGCUGGUUCUCUAGGGAACAAUGUGCACACUUGUCAUCUUUGUAUCUUCACCUGUGCACCUUUUGUAGACCUGAUUAUCUCUCUGAAUGCUUUAUAGCACUCAGGAUUGAGGAUUGACUUCUUGUCUCUUCUUACAUUUUCAGGUCUAUGUUUCUUCAUAUACCCCAAUGUAUGUUUAUAGAAUGUAAUUAAUGGGCCUUUGUGCCUAUAAACCUUUACAACUUUCAGCAACGGAUCUCUUGGCUCUCGCAUCGAUGAAGAACGCAGCGAAAUGCGAUAAGUAAUGUGAAUUGCAGAAUUCAGUGAAUCAUCGAAUCUUUGAACGCACCUUGCGCUCCUUGGUAUUCCGAGGAGCAUGCCUGUUUGAGUGUCAUUAAUAUUAUCAACCUUUUGGGUUGGAUUUGGGUUUGCUGGCCUCUAUCAGGUCAGCUCCCCUUAAAUGCAUUAGCAGACAACAUUUUGCCAAAUGUUCAUUGGUGUGAUAAUUAUCUACGCUAUUGACAUGAAGCAAAGGUUCAGCUUCUAACUGUCCAUUACUUGGACAACUUUAUUAAUGUGACCUCAAAUCAGGUAGGACUACCCGCUGAACUUAA
Molecule: ribosomal RNA, 626 nt
Filed under: Calonarius parasuaveolens
Lineage: Eukaryota; Fungi; Basidiomycota; Agaricomycetes; Agaricales; Cortinariaceae
Description: eukaryotic LSU rRNA
Rfam family: 5.8S ribosomal RNA (bases 253-406)
Source: RNAcentral